Molecule: ribosomal RNA, 468 nt
Filed under: uncultured bacterium
Lineage: Bacteria
Description: partial 16S ribosomal RNA
Rfam family: Bacterial small subunit ribosomal RNA
Source: RNAcentral
GACGAACGCUGGCGGCGUGCUUAACACAUGCAAGUCGAACGGAAAGGCCCUGCUUUUGUGGGGUGCUCGAGUGGCGAACGGGUGAGUAACACGUGAGUAACCUGCCCUUGACUUUGGGAUAACUUCAGGAAACUGGGGCUAAUACCGGAUAGGAGCUCCUGCUGCAUGGGGGGGGUUGGAAAGUUUCGGCGGUUGGGGAUGGACUCGCGGCUUAUCAGCUUGUUGGUGGGGUAGUGGCUUACCAAGGCUUUGACGGGUAGCCGGCCUGAGAGGGUGACCGGCCACAUUGGGACUGAGAUACGGCCCAGACUCCUACGGGAGGCAGCAGUGGGGAAUAUUGCACAAUGGGCGGAAGCCUGAUGCAGCAACGCCGCGUGCGGGAUGACGGCCUUCGGGUUGUAAACCGCUUUCGCCUGUGACGAAGCGUGAGUGACGGCAAUGGGUAAAGAAGCACCGGCUAACUACGUG